RNAcentral lists this long non-coding RNA (5420 nucleotides) under Sus scrofa (pig). Its description in RNAcentral is "lncRNA (ENSSSCG00000060689.1)". The record is from RNAcentral. Lineage: Eukaryota; Metazoa; Chordata; Mammalia; Artiodactyla; Suidae.
GGCUGCACCCGCAGCACAUGGAGGUUUCCAGGCUAGGGGUCUAAUCGGAGCUGUAGCUACUGGCCUACACCACAACCACAGCAAUGCCAGAUCCAAGCUGUGUUUGCAACCUACACCACAGCUCAUGGCAAUGCCAGAUCCCCAACCCACCGAGCAAGGCCAGGGAUCAAACCCGCAACCUCAUGGCUCCUAGUUGGAUCUGUUUCCACUGUGCCACAAUGGAAACUUCUAUAACUUAAUUUAUAAUAAAAAGGAAUGCAAAACAAUCCAAUAUAUUUCACCAUUAAAAAAUGAACACAAUAAAAUUUGAUAUCUGCAAGAAGAGAGAGAUGUGCAAGGAAUCAUGAUUUCACAGUAAAGGUGAUCAUUAAGUAGCAUUUUAAAAAAUAGACUGAAAUAUUAUAGGAAAACAAGUCACAAAGAUGGAGUGACACAAGAGAGGACAUUCUAAUUAAAAUAAGUGACAUCAACAAAAGCACUGAGAUGUGAAGCUGCAUGCUAUCUUAGGGAAGGGUAAGUUCAGCACUGCUGGGACAUAAAGAGUGUGGAUAGUGAUGGGGAGAAGGGAAAUGGACUGGAGUCAAGGACGCUAGAGUAAAGAUGAAGGCUAUAAAGAUUUUGCAUUCUCUGUUAAUUGCUUAUUCUAAAAGUCACAGAAGUGUAUUACAAGGUUUUAACUGGAUGAGUGACUUCAUUAGUAAUAUUUGCAUUUUGAAAGGUUAGUAUAAGCUAAGCCUGGAGAAAGAGGGACCAGACAGAAGCUUCUGCAAUGGUCAAAACUGGAAACAAAGAAGUUCUGAACUAGAGUAGGCAAUGGAGUGAUAAAAAAGAGAAGUUCAGGAGAUGUUUGAGGUCAGCUUCUGGUUGAUAUUUAGGAUCUGAAAUCUGAAAGCAUGAAUUAUAUGUUGACUUUGGGGAGAUAACAAGGGAAUCAGGGAAGACUGCCAUAUGCCAUGUAUGUACUACCUAAAAAUACAGAGAAAAGCUUCAGCCCUUCUGCCUGUCUGCUAGGCUGCAGUUUCCUCCAUUCCUUUUUCCUAAUUAUUAUUCCACCACCUGUUUUCUGCCUUCCAGAUAUUUGUUAAAAUAUGCUGUUUGUUCAAGAAAACCCUUCCCAUUCCUCUCAUUACAUGUUUAUUUUAUUACCAUUACCUAAUUUUCAAUUUGACAUUUACAUGGGAGGGAGGUGUAUUCAUAUGGAUGAACUUCAUCUGCCAUCUUGAACUGAUGCACAUCAUACCACGUCGUGAAAAUUAACAUGUAAUUCAGGACUAAACCCAGUUGAAACACAUUCAUACACUGAUGGAAAAUUAUGUCUAUUUCUUGGCAGGUAUAGUUAGUUUUAAAUACUUUCAUGUGUACUUUGUUUUUGGAUUUGGAUUUCAGUAGUAUAAUCAUUACGGGUAUUACUGAUCAGAUUAAGUAUGAACUUUUAGAAGUGGAAUAUUUCAUCCACAUUUAUUUUAUACCAUUUAUUUUGCCAGUUGUACUUCUCUUGAUUUAAGUAACAACAGAAGGAUGCUCAUUUCCAUUUCAGUCUAGUGUCAAUGUCCACUUCAGAGCACUUCUCAUUUCCUCAGAACAAAGCCUUUCCUAAGCCCAGGGAUCUUGGUUAGUGACCACACGAAAUGGAAAGGGCAAAAGAAGCAGCCAAAGGGACAAGAAACAGCUGGAAACCAUUGAAGAAAGCUAUAGAAAUAAAAACAUGAGGAAUAAAAGAAUAUGACUAAUGUUUAAUAUCCAGUGUUAAAAAAUAUUUUGGAAAUUCUGUGUUGUCUUUUCCUGGGUAACAGCCUUAAAAUGUAUCUAUGUCCACUGUCUACAUUAAAUCUUUUCUGGAAUGAGGAAGUGUCAUGCCCACAUAUGAACUAAAUCAAAACAGAAGAGCAGUCAUCAGCAAAGACUAAAAUCUUACUGUGUGAAGGACAAAUGAAGGUUUCUUUUGAACAAUAAAAUGACUCUGACUUGAUAUCUUACUGAUUUAGUGUUUUGACUUUUGACAUCCAGUUCAUACCAGUUGGAAACCAUAAUUCCUUCUCCCAGAUCCGUGAGUUCAGGGGGUUCUUGAAGGUCAAUUGCUCUUUAGCAUAAUUUCUCACUAUUGUAUGAAACUGCCUCUCCAAUUGCCUAGUAUCUCCAACAACAACAGAACCGUAUCUGCCAAAACACAAUAACUUCCAAUCAAAUACCACCAAAGGAAAACAAUGGCACCAUGAAUAGUCACAUAGGAAAAUAUGAAUUUUGCUUUCCCAGAUAAAGUUAUUGCUCCAAGAGCAUCAGAAAUGAUGUCCUGUUUCUAAUGCUUACUAUCCACUACCCUGAGUAUCCUGCUAGGAUCAUGAGGCAUACAUUGACAAUCUACUGGAACACAACAAGUAAGACUGGACAAGAAGACAAUUUCCAGCCAAUUUUCAGAGACCCCAUUUUAAUGAGAAUGAAAAGAACAGGGAGCUCAGAAGUAUCAGAGUCUUAAUACAACUUGGAUUUGGUUUAGCAAUUCCUAAAAUAGAGGAAGGACUUCUAUGGAUAGGAUAAAAUAUGGCGUUAUUAUUUUGAUCAAAGUGAAAAUUGCACCUGGGAAUUUACUGCCACCUUUCCAUCAUUUAACCAAAAUGUCCUAUACUCAUCCAUGAAAAAUGGCAUAUACUUUCCACAAUCAAAAUAACAGUAGAAGAGCCAAAUCCAUAGCAUGUAUGUUUCCUCUAUGAGAGGAGUAUUUGGAUUCUAAGACUACUGGCUAAUAUUUGUCCGUUAGCCAACCCAUCACCAUCCAACAGGUAUAGUUAUUGAUGAGGAGACCUGAUCUGUCACUCUCUAACCAAAUUAACAUAUUCAUAAUAAAGACUGCAGAGUCUUUUCUAACAGAAAGAUAUCGUUUCUUUAUUUCUCUCGUGUUUUAACAUGAAUGAAGGAUGGGUUUUAAUACUCAUUCAGAAUCUACCAUGUGCCAAAAACUAUGGCUGUUGUUUUGUAUAUGUUAUUUCAUUCAAUUCUGACGGCAAUUCUGUAAGGCAGAUGGUAUUCUCAUUUGCAAAGGGGGAAAACUUGGCUCAGAGAGGUUUGAUAACUUACCAAGUCCCACAACCAACAAAUGGCAGAGCUAGAAUGUGAACCCAGGCUGACUAUCUAUACAACAUCACAUUGCUUUGUCUGGGCUACAAAACACAUAAAGUUAUUUUAUUUUCUAGCUGUUUUCCCCUGUUUUCACUCAUAGAUCUUUUUAUGCUUCAGAAUAAUUUUACCUAACAAUUUUCGUAAAUUUGUUGAUUCUCAUGUUUUUUGUUCACAUCAUCUACCAGAUAGUCACCUCUUUGAUGGCUGAGACCAUGUCUGCCAUUUUCAUCCUUGCAUCCAAAGCACCCAGCACAGAGUAGUAGGAACUCAAUAAAUACUUGUUGCAAGUAAAGAAUAAGUAGAUGCCCCCUCAGUGAAACUUCCACUCAGGCACACUAAUUGAGUUCCCUUACCGUGCCAUUCUCAUUUUGCCUCUGCAGUUUGGGUCCAUCACUCAAAUUCUUAGGAAGAACCUCAGUCUUCUCUUCCCACAUAACCCCUCCCAAACCACUGUGACACAUCACAAGGACUCUCUGGUUCCAAGAAUCAUUUCUGUUCACAGGGAAAUUCUGGCUCUCCUGUGUUUCUGAAUUCAUAUAACUUACUUUCUCUUCUCUUCAUCCAAUGCUACUUUGUGAGCUCAUUUUUGGUGUGUAAUUUAUUCUUAUGAAUGUAUAUGGGUUUUUAUUUUUCACCUCCAAGUUAAGACAUACAGGAAGUACUGUAUAUUAUAAUUACUUUUCUCCUUCCUAAAAAUCUAACACUUACUAUGUACAAAGUAUAUCCUUAAAUAUGUGCUGAGUAAAUAAAUAAAUGAACUCUUAGUAGGAAAAGAUCUUAGUAGAAUAUUAAAAUAAAAAAGAGCUCUAAGUAUUACCUAUGGUGAAACAGACUGGGGGUAUGAAAUCAAGUCAGGGCACUUUAUAACUUGGUACACUGGUUAUUUAACUUCAGCCUUUGAUUUUACCUGGACAAAGUAGUAAUCAGAGAAAUAUGUAAAAAGAAAGUAUACUGAAUGGGAGCAGGUGGUUCCUUUCCCAUACAGGAGUUUAUACUCUUUCCACAGACCCCAUGCUCCUUCCAAAAAGAGAAAAAUGCUGCCAAGGAAUAGAAGACAUCCCCUAUGUUCUCUCUAUCCUUUCUCCUCAAGCUUUCUAUUGCUGGCUUCAAGUAAAGAUACAGAACAGAAGCAAAAAGAAAUUACCAAUGGGAUUUCCAAACAACUCUAGCUGUUACUACACAAGGAUACACAAAAUAAAUCAUUAUUUCAUCAUUCUAAUAUUCCUGUAGAGAAAAUUCAACAGCUCUAACCUGUCUUAAUUUAGGUUGCCAAUAAUCAAAAAAUAGAUAUACUAGAGCUAAAAAUUUGGAGCUCUGAAGAAAAAAAUCUGUGUUAUUUCAAACUAAAUGAAACUUGGAACAUUUAGUUUGUACAAUAUCUCUCCACACAACUGUCUAUAGCUGAAUUUUCCAUAAAAUAAUAAAUAACCACUGAAAUACUGGUGUAUUCUGAGAUGUUUGGCUCAGCAGGUUGUGAUUUACCCCUCAGGUAAGUUCAGGCUUGACAUGGUUUAAAAGAGCAGGUACUUAAGCUCUUGCUGCAGCAGCUGAAAUCUUUCCAUGCUUCCAGGAGCUAGAGAAGACCUGGUCCUUUGGCGUCCAGCUCCUUCCAUGCAGCUGAGCUUGUAUUGCUAACUUGCACUAAGAAAACAGAGUCUGUGGACUCAAGACCCAGAAACAAAAUAUAAAUUUAAAAAAUAGUAAUACACUCAUGGUUCCAACUGUCCACACAUUCUCAGUUAGGCUAUACCUAUGUUAUAUUACUCAGCAUGUGGUUUCAAUUUUAACAACAAUGCACAUUUGUUCAAGAGCAUGCUGGCUGUUAACUUCACUUCUCACUGUGUUUAAAUAUGCCAUGGGCUGUGACUCCCUUUUAGGGGUCAAGUGUCUGGCAUGUGCCUGCUAUGUUAUGGUUGGUAUAAUCUUACAGAUUAUCCAAGCUGCAAAACCAGAAUCUUUGAUGUCCAAAAAGGCCCAUGUAUAUGUAAUACGUAUAUUAUGUAUACCUGUAUAUAUCAACAAAGAAAUGAGUAAAGUAGAGAAAAGGACAAACAACCCAUCAGCAUGAAACAGCCAUUCCCUUGCUAUUUCUGGACUGACUGACAUGUGACAUGCAACAGUGUUAAGCUUUGCUCCCUUUUCAAAAUAUAGAUGCCAAGUGACCACCUUUAACUGGUGUUCACUUGGAGACUUCUUUCCUCACACUAAAGGAUUAUGUUACACUCUGGAAUUUCACAGCAGAAUUUGAUACCACUUGGUAUUUAUCGAAACAUUUAUGUUCACAGCAUUUAGUAUUUCAGCAUCCA